This 191-nucleotide microRNA precursor is filed under the name Oryza brachyantha (malo sina). RNAcentral describes it as "MIR812 microRNA precursor family". It matches the Rfam family "MIR812 microRNA precursor family". Lineage: Eukaryota; Viridiplantae; Streptophyta; Magnoliopsida; Poales; Poaceae. The record is from Rfam by way of RNAcentral.
AAUAAGAUCAUUUUUCAGUUUUUUGAUAUAAUAUUUUGACUCUUCGUCUUAUUUGAAAUUUUUUUAUGAUUAAUAUUUUUAUUUUUACUAGAUGAUAAAACAUGAAUAGUACUUUAUGCGUCACUAAUUUUUUUAAGUUUUUGUACAAAUUUUUUAAAUAAAACGAAUGGUCAAAGGUUGAACACGGAAAA